AGCGAACGUUUGCGGCGGGCCUAACACAUGCAAGUCGAACGCACUAGCAAUAGUGAGUGGCGCACGGGUGCGUAACACGUGGGUAAUCAACCCUUCAGCCUGGGAUAACGACUCGAAAGGGUCGCUAAUACCGGAUACGGCGCGAGAGGCUUCGGCUUCUCACGAGAAAGCCACGCAAGGGGCACUGAAGGACGAGCCUGCGGCCCAUCAGCUAGUUGGUGAGGUAAGAGCUCACCAAGGCUAAGACGGGUAGGCUGGUCUGAGAGGAUGAUCAGCCACACUGGAACUGAGACACGGUCCAGACUCCUACGGGAGGCAGCAGUGGGGGAAUAUUGGACAAUGGGGGAAACCCGUGAUCCAGCUACGCCGCGUGGGUGAUGAAGGCC
Molecule: ribosomal RNA, 386 nt
Filed under: uncultured bacterium
Lineage: Bacteria
Description: bacterial SSU rRNA
Rfam family: Bacterial small subunit ribosomal RNA
Source: RNAcentral